Molecule: ribosomal RNA, 465 nt
Filed under: uncultured bacterium
Lineage: Bacteria
Description: partial 16S ribosomal RNA
Rfam family: Bacterial small subunit ribosomal RNA
Source: RNAcentral
GACGAACGCUGGCGGCGUGCUUAACACAUGCAAGUCGUACGGUAAGGCCCUGUCGGGGGUGCACGAGUGGCGAACGGGUGAGUAACACGUGAGUAACCUGCCCACAACUUUGGGAGAACGCUCGGAAACUGGUGGGAAUUCUUGAUAUGUGCUACUGCUGCAUGGUGGGGGGUGGAAAGCUCCGGCCGUUGUGGUGGGACUGGCUGCCUGUCAGCUUGUUGGUGGGGUAGGGGCCGACCCAGGCGGGGACGGGUGGCCCGCCUGGGGGGGUGAGCGGCCCCCAUUGGACUUGGAUAAGGCCCCGACUCCUACCGGAGGCAGCCGUGGGGAAUCUUGCAACAUGGGCGCGAGCCUGAUGCAGCCACGCCGCGUGCGGGAUGACGGCCUUCGGGUUGUAAACCGCUUUCAGCAGGGACGAAGCUUUUUGUGACGGUACCUGCAGAAGAAGCACCGGCUAACUACGUG